GUUACUAGAGGAGAGGAGAAGCUCCGUGCAGGGGAAUCCGGGAUGCUGGAAAGCUGGGGAAUUUAAUACAGAGCUGGCUCUGCUCCAUCCUGGAUCUUCUUUAUGUUCUUUGACAAUGUGCCAGAAACCCUGACAAUGAACCGCUGUCUCUGACUAAUUGUUCUAGUGGAGAUGUCUCCUGUUUGACUUGAUUUUAAACUGUGGAGCACGUCAAGAGAAAGCUCACUGAUCUGCCGAGGGUUUGUGCUUUUCUGUCUUCAUGCAUCUGUUGUGGGUGAAGAGAGCAAAGAUUCUUCAUUCAAUCAAAGGCCCCCUUUGGAGAUGCUGAGAAGGAAAUUUCCUUUGGAAAUUCCCAAAGGAAUUGGGCUGUCUCUCUCUCUUUCUCUGGUUGCAUUUCACCAGCUAAGGAGUUGCAUUGGCUUCUGCUCUCCUCUCUUGCUCACCUACAUUGUGAGGCAGAUGAGAGUGGAGGUUGUAAAUCACCCUCCAUGCAAUGGUUCAUCAUAAAGGAUAUGGAGCAAAAUUAGAGGAGGCACGAGAAGGAAAGCCGGUGAUGAACAAGGAAAGUGCCUGGUUGAAGCUAGCUUGCAAUCCCAAAGUCAGAAGGUUGCCUGGGAAGCCAUGAAACAAAGCCAAAUCAAGGCAAAGCAGACACAUGGAGAUUUUGAGACUGAGAAGAGGAAAACUGAGGACAUUCAUGUGAGAUGGUUUCAAGUUUCCCUUAGAAGGAGAAGUUAUCUUCAGAAGGUCAGGUUGGUGAGGUGGGAGUUCAAAAACAACAAAGUAUGUAGCUACCAUUGUGAGGAAGACCAUGGAAAAUGGACGAAUCAGAAUGAAAGGCUUUCUGAACAAGAGGGAGUUUCCCUGCACAAGCUCCCUCCUGCCUGCUGCCAUGUGAGACCUGCGUUUUGCCUUCCACCAUGACUGUGAGGCCUCUUCCCCGGCCAUGUGGAACUCCCAGAGACAGAAGCAGAUAAUGCAAGUGUCAUCUACAUCUGGCAAAAGCCAAAGGUUUGGAAGAUGGAAAAAGGAAUCCAGGCAAAAAGGAGCCCAAGAUUGAAGUGAAUGACCAGGUGCACCAGUUCAAAUGCAAUCAGGAGGGACAGGGGUAGAGGGAGAAGCCUAGAGCAGCGCUUCUCAAACUGACUAUUCAAGUCACCUGGAGAUCUUGGUGAAAUGCAGACUCUGGUGCAGUAGGUCCUGGCGGGAACUUGAAAUUCUGCAUUUUGACCAAGGUCCAAGGUGAAUGUCCAGUGCUGUUGUCCUUGGCCUGCAGCAGGAGGAGCAGGGAUCUAAGACUUGGAGAGCAAAUGUCAAGCUCAGAAGAAAGACUGGAAGUUUGGGGACAAAACCCAAAUAUGGCUAAAGAAAGCCUGUAGGAUGAAGUUGGAAGUUCCAGAGCCUUCUCUUCACAUAAUGGGACAUGCAAGGGGGAAACCAAAUCAAAAGUGUAGAAUGCGUCGCUGGAUGUCUUUGACAUGUUAUUGUUCUGAUAGAAUAUCAGCGGGGAGCUACUGAGGACCUCCUCACUACCCUCCCUUGGAAGAGUUUGUCUGCAAUGGAGCCAACACAGUGGAAAGCAGAGCUGAGAAAUGGACAAACAACUCCUGAUGCCUCAUUUGAGCACCUGGAUUUAGCCAUGUCUGAAGCUAUUAUAUCCUUGAACUUUUGAAUCAUGUAGGUUACCAUAAUUCCUUUUUUGUUAAAGCUAAUUUGAGUUGGGUUUCUAUCACUUGCAAUCAACAAUUGACCAGGUGCUUAGUACAUAAUGAAUGAGUGAAUGAACAAAUUCAAUUCUGUAAGUAUUUAUCAUCUCCUUACACGGCAGGCACUGUUUUAAGUCCCAAAGAAAGAGGCAGAGGAGCGACAGAGAUGACUUCCUCCCUUGAAAACGAAGCAUGUGGCCUGACAACCUAAAAUUGGGGUCAAUCCAUCCAAUUAUGGUGACUGCUUAGAAAUAUCCCUUUUCCUCCCAACGUUUUCCUUUCCUUCUCCCAUAAACAUAAUAAUGUCUCCUGCCAGUACUAAGGCAUGGCCCAUGGACCCACUAACACCUAUGCUCACGUUAGCUCUUGAGGCCGAGUGGCUUGGUUCUAUCUGGUUAUCAGAUGCAAACUUCAUCACAGCAGGGAUUUGGGCUAGACAUUAGAGGAAUAGUGUGGUACCAGAUGGUGUUUCUGAAGAAGGUUGUCCUAUUUUUGCAGUUUAAGGAUUUGAUAAUAAAUCUGCCUGGCAGCCCU
Homo sapiens (human) is the source of this 2240-nucleotide long non-coding RNA. Ensembl annotates it as long intergenic non-protein coding RNA 877. Lineage: Eukaryota; Metazoa; Chordata; Mammalia; Primates; Hominidae. The record is from Ensembl.